AGUGAACGCUGGCGGUAGGCCUAACACAUGCAAGUCGAACGGCAGCACAGUAAGAGCUUGCUCUUACGGGUGGCGAGUGGCGGACGGGUGAGGAAUACAUCGGAAUUUACUUUUUCGUGGGGGAUAAAGUAGGGAAACUUACGCUAAUACCGCAUACGAACUACGGGUGAAAGCAGGGGCUCUUCGGACCUUGCGCGAUUGAAUGAGCCGAUGUCGGAUUAGCUAGUUGGCGGGGUAAAGGCCCACCAAGGCGACGAUCCGUAGCUGGUCUGAGAGGAUGAUCAGCCACACUGGAACUGAGACACGGUCCAGACUCCUACGGGAGGCAGCAGUGGGGAAUAUUGGACAAUGGGCGCAAGCCUGAUCCAGCCAUACCGCGUGGGUGAAGAAGGCCUUCGGGUUGUAAAGCCCUUUUGUUGGGAAAGAAAAGCAGCAGGUUAAUACCCCGCUGUUCUGACGGUACCCAAAGAAUAAGCACCGGCUAACUUCGUG
Molecule: ribosomal RNA, 492 nt
Filed under: uncultured bacterium
Lineage: Bacteria
Description: partial 16S ribosomal RNA
Rfam family: Bacterial small subunit ribosomal RNA
Source: RNAcentral